Molecule: small RNA, 866 nt
Filed under: uncultured Acidimicrobiales bacterium
Lineage: Bacteria; Bacillati; Actinomycetota; Acidimicrobiia; Acidimicrobiales
Description: bacterial SSU rRNA
Rfam family: Bacterial small subunit ribosomal RNA (bases 1-492)
Source: RNAcentral
AUGGCUGUCGUCAGCUCGUGUCGUGAGAUGUUGGGUUAAGUCCCGCAACGAGCGCAACCCUUGUCCUAUGUUGCCAGCGGGUAAUGCCGGGGACUCGUAGGAGACUGCCGGGGUCAACUCGGAGGAAGGUGGGGACGACGUCAAGUCAUCAUGCCCCUUACGUCCAGGGCUGCACACAUGCUACAAUGGCCGGUACAAAGGGCUGCUAUCCCGCGAGGGUGAGCGAAUCCCAAAAAGCCGGUCUCAGUUCGGAUUGGAGUCUGCAACUCGACUCCAUGAAGUCGGAGUCGCUAGUAAUCCCGGAUCAGCAACGCCGGGGUGAAUACGUUCCCGGGCCUUGUACACACCGCCCGUCAAACCACGAAAGUCGGCAACACCCGAAGCCGGUCACCCAACCACUUGUGGAGGGAGCCGUCGAAGGUGGGGUCGGUGAUUGGGGUUAAGUCGUAACAAGGUAGCCGUACCGGAAGGUGCGGCUGGAUCACCUCCUUUCUAAGGAGCUGUCAUCGUUUCAGAUCGACAUUUGUUGAUUUGGAACGAUCACUCCCAGUCGAUCACUGAUUAUUCGCAGUCAAGGCGAUCGUGGCCCCGGUUGAAUACGGCGGAGCAAUCCGUCGUCCCCGGACCCCACGCUCUCGAAUUGGCAAACGGGCUGUUCCUGUUCCGUUUUCAGAGAGUGGCGGCGUCGCGUACGCGCCCCUUGAGAACUCCAUAGCGAGCACGAGCAUCUGAAUCUCCAAGCUACAAAGAGCCAACGGUGGAUGCCUUGGCGCCUGAAGCCGAUGAAGGACGCGGGAGGCUGCGAAAAGCCACGGGGAGGUGCCUACCAACCUUUGAUCCGUGGAUGUCCGAAUGGGGAAACCCGG